CCUUGUCGGCCCUUUUGUGUGUCGGGAACGGACCUCCGCGGCGUUUGCCUGGACAGGACCUCAACGGCGACCUGCAGGUCCCCAUUGAGAUGCCUGGAUACUUAUCUAAAUAUAAGAUGAUUGUAACUAAGGUCAUGUUCUAGGUAUAAAAAAUGAUCUGCUGGAUCAUGCUCUUGCAAUAACUGAUUUCGCUAUCAAGUCUACAAUCCAAUGUUGAUCUAGAAGAUAGAUGAAGACUGAAUUAGUUCACAAUUGAUCUUGGUUCUAUACGAUCUUCUAUAUUUGUGUCACGUAGGUCUGUCUCCCAAGAGCAACGAGAAGAAAUCUGUUAACACAUUACUGCAUUAUAUGUAACAUAUGUCCAUUUUCACGGAAUGAAGGGUGAGUGCUAACUACUUGUGCUGAACCAUUAUGGUGCCCCGAACUUUCUGACCAUUUGAGUUAUACUCCAGAGUCUUGAUGUUGGCUGAAUUGAAAAUUUGGAGCUGUCGAGACUCGAGCUUCGUUUUUCGUGGAUUAGUGGUUAUUGAAUUUUUAUGCCUCUAGCCCAUGCUUGCAGGAACACGAUUAUUGAGUGGAACAAU
Long non-coding RNA from Triticum aestivum (bread wheat), 584 nucleotides. RefSeq lists it as uncharacterized. The record is from RefSeq and is a predicted model, not a curated record. NCBI's taxonomy places the organism in Eukaryota, Viridiplantae, Streptophyta, Magnoliopsida, Poales, Poaceae. The transcript is spliced from 3 exons.